RNAcentral lists this unclassified non-coding RNA (283 nucleotides) under fungal sp. RNAcentral describes it as "partial internal transcribed spacer region". The stretch from base 1 to 46 matches the Rfam family "Eukaryotic small subunit ribosomal RNA", at positions 1786 to 1831 of the family's 1831-position model. Lineage: Eukaryota; Fungi. The record is from RNAcentral.
AAGUCGUAACAAGGUCUCCGUUGGUGAACCAGCGGAGGGAUCAUUACUGAGUCACGUGCUCAAACAACCCUUCUGUGGACCUGAAAUAAAACCGUUGCCUCGGCGGGCGGUCCCCCCAACCAAACCCCACGUGGUGGGUUAGGGGACCAGACAGUCCGGCACGCUUAAGGCGUCCGGCGCCAGCCGCUGGCCCCAAACAAUUAAACUCUAGUAACCUUUACCUUCUGAGUUUUAAUAUUUUAAAAAUAAGUCAAAACUUUCAACAACGGAUCUCUUGGCUCUG